AAACUUUCAACAACGGAUCUCUUGGUUCCGGCAUCGAUGAAGAACGCAACGAAAUGCGAUAACUAAUGUGAAUUGAAGAAUUCAGUGAAUCAUCGAGUCUUUGAACGCACAUUGCGCCCUCUGGUAUUCCGGAGGGCAUGGCUGUCCGAGCGUCAUUG
RNAcentral lists this ribosomal RNA (158 nucleotides) under Penicillium tropicum. RNAcentral describes it as "5.8S ribosomal RNA". It matches the Rfam family "5.8S ribosomal RNA". From Rfam's summary of the family: 5.8S ribosomal RNA (5.8S rRNA) is a component of the large subunit of the eukaryotic ribosome. It is transcribed by RNA polymerase I as part of the 45S precursor that also contains 18S and 28S rRNA. Functionally, it is thought that 5.8S rRNA may be involved in ribosome translocation. Lineage: Eukaryota; Fungi; Ascomycota; Eurotiomycetes; Eurotiales; Aspergillaceae. The record is from RNAcentral.